RNAcentral lists this ribosomal RNA (591 nucleotides) under uncultured bacterium. RNAcentral's name for it is "partial 16S ribosomal RNA". It matches the Rfam family "Bacterial small subunit ribosomal RNA", at positions 355 to 1375 of the family's 1533-position model. The record is from RNAcentral.
UGGGGAAUUUUGGACAAUGGGCGAAAGCCUGAUCCAGCAAUGCCGCGUGUGUGAAGAAGGCCUUCGGGUUGUAAAGCACUUUUGUCCGGAAAGAAAUCCUUGGCUCUAAUACAGUCGGGGGAUGACGGUACCGGAAGAAUAAGCACCGGCUAACUACGUGCCAGCAGCCGCGGUAAUACGUAGGGUGCAAGCGUUAAUCGGAAUUACUGGGCGUAAAGCGUGCGCAGGCGGUUUGCUAAGACCGAUGUGAAAUCCCCGGGCUCAACCUGGGAACUGCAUUGGUGACUGGCAGGCUAGAGUAUGGCAGAGGGGGGUAGAAUUCCACGUGUAGCAGUGAAAUGCGUAGAGAUGUGGAGGAAUACCGAUGGCGAAGGCAGCCCCCUGGGCCAAGUACUGACGCUCAUGCACGAAAAGCGUGGGGGAGCAAAACAGGAUUAGAUACCCUGGUAGUCCACGCCCUAAAACGAUGUCAACUAGUUGUUGGGGAUUCAUUUCCUUAGUAACGUAGCUAACGCGUGAAGUUGACCGCCUGGGGAGUACGGUCGCAAGAUUAAAAACUCAAAUGAAUUGACGGGGUCAUAGCUGUUUCCU